UUUCCAAAUCUGCUUACAUGCGCUUCCCCUAUCGAAGUGUUCGGCUACUUCCAUUAUGCACUAUGCGCUAAAUAUACCACAGGUUAAUAUAGUCUACCAGUCUAACUGUCUAUUCUGCCUUCUAUCCACCAUUCAUAGUGAAAAUAGUGGUAGGUGGUCGUUUGUCCAGAUCGGCAAUGGGCUAACUAGCAAUCAUACCACAACUAAAAUCAUUAAAAGCUGCAAUUAAAAAUCCACGAGAACAACGAGAAAUAGCUGAUAAGCAGCGAAGUGGCCAGGUACGUCAUUGCGCAUGAAAGAACAUUGAAGACGUGAGACACGCAACUCAAAAAGCUCCCCCAUUGAUCUUGUUUAGGGACAAUUAAAUUAUCUCGACUAGCCUACAACAACUGAUCAUUGUCUGCAGCUGGCUUUGAUCGUAGUGUAAUGACACAGGCAGAGAGCGUGAGUGGUCGAAGAACCACCAACCUUCUGGCCCGUAACCCUGUGUGACAUCAAACUGUGCCACGACAAAAACAUGCUGUAGUGGCAACGUCGAUAUCCACAUUUAUAAGCACAAGUGCCGGGGUCAGCGGAGCUCCCAAGUGACCAGCGACAGGGCCAACAGCCAACUGACUGCCUACUCUACUCUGACCUCCCUUCAUUAGUAACCCCUGUGCUUCUCCUCAGACCUGGGGCUGCUGGGGGGACCUAUUUGUGGUCCUCCACUCGUCUGAGGGGAAGGGGAUAGAGGGAUAGAGACUGAAGGAACAACAGCUGCUGAUGGGGACAUCACGCUUCCCAUGGAAGAGCAGCAUCCUCCUGAGAGAAGGUGCUGUAAUCUGCAGUAAUCGAAUUCUCAGACAUACAUGAUAGCCACAGUAUGUCUCGAAGCCACAUUGUAUGUGAGUGAACACAUGACGUUGAACAUAUUGACACAUGACGUUGUGUGAUCUAUAUUGUAUUUACAAAAACAAUCAACAGUGCAAGUCACAUGAUGAUCUUACACGGAAAGCUCUUGAAAACUUUCACAGACACACAAAAACAUAGAGAUAUUAAAGCCGUUAUACAAGCAGUGUUAAAUGGACAAAGUGUACUUAAAUGUAUUUUGUGUUCAGAGAAUCUGCUGGGGUGCCAGAGGAAUGCAAAGAAUUGUAGGCACUUUUUUCUGACACGGUAUAGUGAUGCCAUCAUGAGUUGCAAUGGGAAACAUUUACACACAGCAAAGAGCCCAGUUCACUAGUAGCAAUACAAGGUGGCAUCAUCUGUCUGAUGAAGAGUCUUGUGUCUGUUUAAUAAUUGAUUUAAGAAGGUGUUAUUUACUUAAUUGACUUGAUUUUGAGUGAAUCUGGAUUCUGUUUAUUCCACAUUUUUAACUUGGUUUAAAAUAAUCAUACAUGUAUGAAAAAAGUCAACCAUCCUAAAUUGGUUUAGACAUGAUUCUUCUGCCCCCUGGCUGUGUAUAUAGAGAAAUAUAAUGUCUCCUAUUGCCAUGGAAGUGUUGGUCUUAACCAAUAUAUCCGUUAAACAAUGUAAACUACGGUUUGGUGUCAUUAUUGCUUAAGCAAUCUCUAUUUGGCACAACAUUUAAAAACGAUGUAACUGAGAAUCAAAAUGGCAUGCCCAUACUUCAAUAUUUCACUAUAACGCCUUGUGAUCUUUGAGGACAGCCUUUUGCAUUCCCUCGAAUAGUCCAAAUGUGGAAUCUGUAUCCUUGCCGUUAUCAAGGACAGUAAUGGUUUGAGAACACUCCAAAAUUUGAAAGGCACAUUACAGGCAACUCCUUUUUUUUCUAUAUGUACAAGUUAGGUCAACUAUGCUGGUCUAUGGAGUCCCUUGGGAGACCCAACUACUGAACCUGGACUCCCAAAGGGGCUGAUCUCUAUUCUGAGCUAGCCAUUAAAAUAAUUAGGGUCCACAGAUCUAAGUGAAUAUGAACAACCCUUUAACUCGAACAGAAUAUGAAAAAUAUGACUUUGGCAUCCCGUAAUCCGAACCAUCACCAUAUACAUGGAAGUUUGUUAACAGAUUGUAUUUAACACCAACGAAACGUUUUAAGAUGACAUUUUCCCCGACUGUUCACUGUGUCCCCUAAAUCAGGUAGGCACAUUCCUUCAUAGGAUGUGUGAUUGCCCUGCAGUUAAAUGCUUCUGGGUCAAAGUUACUCCAUUUCAAAGUGCAUGAAUGUAAAUAUUCAAUGCUUUGCAUCUACUAUGUUACUUAAUGACUCAAUAAAUCAGAGACAAUUACUGCUGGCAGGCACCACUGCCGGAAAAAAAGAUGUUGGCUCUUAUAUGGCAUUCACCUCACUCUCUCCCAAUUCGCCAGUGGAUACAGUUACUAUUAUUACUAUUAAGUUAUAACAUUAGAAUUAUCAACAGUGAGAAUGAAUCUUUGUGCGUGACAAAGAACAAUUGAGGCCUUGAAAAAUAUACGUGACUCUGUAAAGAAUAUUCUCAGCUAAAGCCAAACAUACAAAUAAACAAUAUAUAAUUAAUAAGGAGUUGGUCCCACCUUUGCUCCUAUAACAACCUCCACUGUUCUGGGAAGGCUUUCCACUAGAUGUUGGAACAUUGCUGCGGGGACUUGCUUCCAAUCAGCCACAAGAGCAUUAGUGUGGUUGGGCACUGGUGUUGGGUUAUUGGGCCUGUCUCGCAGUCGGCGUUCCAUUUCAUCCCAAAGGUGUUUGAUGGGGUUGAGGUCAAGGCUCUGUGCAGGCCAGUCAAGUUCUUCUUGACAAACCAUUUCUGUAUGGACCUCACUUUGUGCACAGGGGCAUUGUCAUGCUGAAACUGGAAAGGGCUUCCCCAAAUUUUGCCAUAAAGUUGGACACAGAAUCGUCUAGAAUGUCAUUGUAUGAUGUAGCUUUAAGAUUUCCCUUCACUGGAACUAUAAUGGGCCUGGCCCGAUCCAUGAAAA
Non-coding RNA from Oncorhynchus mykiss (rainbow trout), 2898 nucleotides. The record is from RefSeq and is a predicted model, not a curated record. NCBI's taxonomy places the organism in Eukaryota, Metazoa, Chordata, Actinopteri, Salmoniformes, Salmonidae.